UCCUACGGGAGGCAGCAGUGGGGAAUAUUGCACAAUGGGGGAAACCAUGAUGCAGCGACGCCGCGUGAGUGAAGAAGUAUUUCGGUAUGUAAAGCUCUAUCAGCAGGGAAGAUAAUGACGGUACCUGACUAAGAAGCCCCGGCUAACUACGUGCCAGCAGCCGCGGUAAUACGUAGGGGGCAAGCGUUAUCCGGAUUUACUGGGUGUAAAGGGUGCGUAGGUGGCAGGGCAAGUCAGAUGUGAAAGCCCGGGGCUCAACCCCGGUACUGCAUUUGAAACUGUCGAGCUGGAGUGCAGGGGAGGAA
RNAcentral lists this ribosomal RNA (305 nucleotides) under uncultured bacterium. RNAcentral describes it as "bacterial SSU rRNA". It matches the Rfam family "Bacterial small subunit ribosomal RNA", at positions 337 to 659 of the family's 1533-position model. The record is from RNAcentral.